RNAcentral lists this non-coding RNA (228 nucleotides) under Ruminococcus sp. Its description in RNAcentral is "T-box sequence". It matches the Rfam family "T-box leader". From Rfam's summary of the family: Uncharged tRNA acts as the effector for transcription antitermination of genes in the T-box leader family. Lineage: Bacteria; Bacillati; Bacillota; Clostridia; Eubacteriales; Oscillospiraceae. The record is from RNAcentral.
GUAAAGGCUGUGAAUGUGUCAGUAGGGUAUCUGAUCAUUGCCAGAGAGAAGGGGCCGGAGGCUGGAAGCUCCUUUCUAUUCGACAGAUAUACUGAAUUUCCCGCAGGAGCCGCAUUUCCGAACAAGUAGUAAGAAAUGACGUCAACGUGCACGUUACGCAUAGGAAGAGAGCCUGUCUUUUUACGCAGGAAUCAGGGUGGUACCGCGGAUUGAUUCUCCGUCCCUUUU